GUAAAUUGAUAUCUUGCAGUGUAGGUAUUCUUUAAACGUGCUGUAUGUAAGUUUCAACUACUGCUACAUAGCUAACGUUAGCAUUAACAGCUGUUUACUUGACAGUCUAGAUGAAACAUUUUGAGUUCAGCGUCAAACUUCAUUCCUUUACUCUCCACCUGUGGAGAGCAACGCCAAUACUAACUCUUGUUUUGCUUCUAUUUCUAUCACUUUACCUCUACUGAAGUUAGCAUGCUAACCAGCUGGCCCCGUUCCAUUCUAUCCCAUAAUACCACUUUGCAAUAUUGAGUCAGUGUAGUGUGCAGUCUGACCUCAACGAUGGUUGAAGCUCUUGCUAAGUAAACAGCUGGCAAUGCUAAUGUUGGCUCUGUAGCAAUAGCAAAAUUUUACAUCCAGCGCCUCUGAAUGCAGAUAACCUCCAGACCUUUGUGAACUUGGGACUCAACCCACCCUGUCAUCAUUUGUUUAUAGAGCACGUAAGGUAACUGUUCACUAGUGUCACCUUUCUCACACUUUUGUUUGGGAUUUCAAGAGGAACUGAACUAAAUACUAAAGCUAAAGAGAGGCCAUGGCGCUGACGGCCUCGGCCUCCUCCGAGUCUCCUCGUUUGGCCUCCAGCAGGGAAAGCCCCAGCCGCGGCGAGUAGCGAUGCACCGAGCGCCAGUACUUACCUGGGAGGAGGGAGGCGGUGGUGGAAGAUGAAAGACAAAAGAGACAGAGGAGAUGAAUGAAGCAGAAAGUGGAGCAGGGUGAGGGAGGUCUGCGCUUGAAGAGAGCGGACAGCGUUGGGGUUGGGCCUCUGCUCGAGGACGGCCUUUGGCAGUGGAUCCAGCUGCACAUGACAAAAACACACAAGCAUGUAACACCCUGCAUUUCUAAUACUUUCCAGAAGGGGUCGACAGUGGAACUAAUGCACCAUGUAACACUGGUUCAUUCCACUGUCAGCUCAUCCUCUGACUUGAUUUGUUCACCCACUGAAUCAUCCCUUAUCCUCUGUGUGUUAUGAAAUGUCUAACCAUGAGACACUGAAUUUAUCAAAUCAAGAUUUCAAAAUAAGAUCUGUCACUUAUCAAUAUUACAAAGUAAAAACUUAUGAUGCAUUUAAA
Long non-coding RNA from Lates calcarifer (barramundi perch), 1106 nucleotides. RefSeq lists it as uncharacterized. The record is from RefSeq and is a predicted model, not a curated record. The transcript has 3 exons. NCBI's taxonomy places the organism in Eukaryota, Metazoa, Chordata, Actinopteri, Centropomidae.